UACGUAGGGUGCGAGCGUUAAUCGGAAUUACUGGGCGUAAAGGGCGCGUAGGCGGUCAGCACAAGUCAGUUGUGAAAUCUCCGGGCUUAACUCGGAAAGGUCAACUGAUACUGUGCGACUAGAGUGCAGAAGGGGCAACUGGAAUUCUUGGUGUAGCGGUGAAAUGCGUAGAUAUCAAGAGGAACACCUGCGGCGAAGGCGGGUUGCUGGGCUGACACUGACGCUGAAGCGCGAAAGCCAGGGGAGCGAACGGG
This 254-nucleotide ribosomal RNA is filed under the name uncultured bacterium. Its description in RNAcentral is "partial 16S ribosomal RNA". It matches the Rfam family "Bacterial small subunit ribosomal RNA", at positions 524 to 776 of the family's 1533-position model. The record is from RNAcentral.